UACAGGGGGGGCAAGCGUUGUUCGGAAUUACUGAGCGUAAAGGGCGCGUAGGCGGCCAACUAAGUCACACGUGAAAUCCCCAGGCUUAACCUGGGAACUGCGUGUGAUACUGGAUGGCUUGAAUUCGGGAGAGGGAUGCGGAAUUCCAGGUGUAGCGGUGAAAUGCGUAGAUAUCUGGAGGAACACCGGUGGCGAAGGCGGCAUCCUGGACCGACAUUGACGCUGAGGCGCGAAAGCUAGGGGAGCAAACGGG
RNAcentral lists this ribosomal RNA (253 nucleotides) under uncultured bacterium. Its description in RNAcentral is "partial 16S ribosomal RNA". It matches the Rfam family "Bacterial small subunit ribosomal RNA", at positions 524 to 776 of the family's 1533-position model. The record is from RNAcentral.